CGUAGGGUGCAAGCGUUAAUCGGAAUUACUGGGCGUAAAGCGUGCGCAGGCGGUUAUAUAAGACAGAUGUGAAAUCCCCGGGCUCGACCUGGGAACUGCAUUUGUGACUGUAUAGCUAGAGUACGGUAGAGGGGGAUGGAAUUCCGCGUGUAGCAGUGAAAUGCGUAGAUAUGCGGAGGAACACCGAUGGCGAAGGCAAUCCCCUGGACCUGUACUGACGCUCAUGCACGAAAGCGUGGGGAGCAAACAGGAUUAGAUACCCUGGUAGUCCACGCCCUAAACGAUGUCAACUGGUUGUUGGGUCUUCACUGACUCAGUAACGAAGCUAACGCGUGAAGUUGACCGCCUGGGGAGUACGGCCGCAAGGUUG
RNAcentral lists this ribosomal RNA (370 nucleotides) under uncultured organism. Its description in RNAcentral is "bacterial SSU rRNA". It matches the Rfam family "Bacterial small subunit ribosomal RNA", at positions 526 to 896 of the family's 1533-position model. The record is from RNAcentral.